RNAcentral lists this ribosomal RNA (453 nucleotides) under uncultured bacterium. RNAcentral's name for it is "bacterial SSU rRNA". It matches the Rfam family "Bacterial small subunit ribosomal RNA", at positions 29 to 506 of the family's 1533-position model. The record is from RNAcentral.
AUGAACGUUGGCGGCGUGUCUUAGGCAUGCAAGUCGAGCGCGUGUAGCAAUACACGAGCGGCAGAUGGGUGAGUAAGACAGUGGUAAUCUACCUCGAAGUCUUGAAUAACACUGCGAAAGCGGUGCUAAUACAAGAUGGUUAAGGGGGGUCAUAUGACAUUCCCUUAUAAAGCUCCGGCGCUUCGAGAGGAACCUUUGGUUUAUCAGCUAGUUGGUGAGGUAAUGGCCCACCAAGGCUAUGACGAAUAGCGGGCGUGAGAGCGUGACCCGCCUCAGUGGCACUGAAACACUGGCCACACUCCUACGGGAGGCUGCAGUCGAGAAUUUUCCGCAAUGCACGAAAGUGUGACGGAGCGACGCCGCGUGCAGGAUGAAGGCCUUCGGGUUGUAAACUGCUUUUAUCAGGGAAAAACCAGCGAUGGUACCUGUUGAAUAAGAGGUUGCUAACUCUGU